UCUUUCACCACGUGCAGCAGCAUUCUCUUGGGAAUGAGCAACAGUAUUCUCCAACUCAGAGAUCCUGUCUAAGGACUUCUGAUACUGCUGAAGACUAGCCACCUUUUCAGCUCCCAAUGCAGAGAGUGCCUCCUUUAAGGUUUGGGCUUCAGAGUGCAGCAGCGUUCUCUUGGGAAUGAGCAACAGUAUUCUCCAACUCAGAGAUCCUGUCUAAGGACUUCUGAUACUGCUGAAGACUAGCCACCUUUUCAGCUCCCAAUGCAGAGAGUGCCUCCUUUAAGGUUUGGGCUUCAGCUUCAGCUUUGCUUGCUCGUUCACCAAAUCCUCGGGAAUCUUCUUUGGCUCGAGAUAUUUCUGACUCCAGAUGAGAUAACUUUUCCAAUGUCUGUUGGUACUGAAUAAGGCCUGCUUCUUUCUCAGCUUCCACUUGG
Molecule: long non-coding RNA, 431 nt
Filed under: Nicotiana benthamiana
Lineage: Eukaryota; Viridiplantae; Streptophyta; Magnoliopsida; Solanales; Solanaceae
Description: long non-coding RNA (NBEN_LNC023577)
Source: RNAcentral